RNAcentral lists this ribosomal RNA (490 nucleotides) under uncultured bacterium. Its description in RNAcentral is "partial 16S ribosomal RNA". It matches the Rfam family "Bacterial small subunit ribosomal RNA", at positions 30 to 507 of the family's 1533-position model. The record is from RNAcentral.
AUUGAACGCUGGCGGCAGGCUUAACACAUGCAAGUCGAGCGGUAGCACAGGGGAGCUUGCUCCCUGGGUGACGAGCGGCGGACGGGUGAGUAAUGUCUGGGAAACUGCCUGAUGGAGGGGGAUAACUACUGGAAACGGUAGCUAAUACCGCAUAACGUCGCAAGACCAAAGAGGGGGACCUUCGGGCCUCUUGCCAUCAGAUGUGCCCAGAUGGGAUUAGCUAGUAGGCGGGGUAAUGGCUCACCUAGGCGACGAUCCCUAGCUGGUCUGAGAGGAUGACCAGCCACACUGGAACUGAGACACGGUCCAGACUCCUACGGGAGGCAGCAGUGGGGAAUAUUGCACAAAGGGCGCAAGCCUGAUGCAGCCAUGCCGCGUGUGUGAAGAAGGCCUUCGGGUUGUAAAGCACUUUCAGCGAGGAGGAAGGUGGUGAGCUUAAUACGUUCAUCAAUUGACGUUACUCGCAGAAGAAGCACCGGCUAACUCCGUG